Molecule: ribosomal RNA, 506 nt
Filed under: uncultured bacterium
Lineage: Bacteria
Description: bacterial SSU rRNA
Rfam family: Bacterial small subunit ribosomal RNA
Source: RNAcentral
CUACGUGCCAGCAGCCGCGGUAAUACGGAAGGUCCAGGCGUUAUCCGGAUUUAUUGGGUUUAAAGGGAGCGUAGGCUGGAGAUUAAGUGUGUUGUGAAAUGUAGACGCUCAACGUCUGAAUUGCAGCGCAUACUGGUUUCCUUGAGUACGCACAACGUUGGCGGAAUUCGUCGUGUAGCGGUGAAAUGCUUAGAUAUGACGAAGAACUCCGAUUGCGAAGGCAGCUGACGGGAGCGCAACUGACGCUUAAGCUCGAAGGUGCGGGUAUCAAACAGGAUUAGAUACCCUGGUAGUCCGCACAGUAAACGAUGGAUGCCCGCUGUUGGUACCUGGUAUCAGCGGCUAAGCGAAAGCAUUAAGCAUCCCACCUGGGGAGUACGCCGGCAACGGUGAAACUCAAAGGAAUUGACGGGGGCCCGCACAAGCGGAGGAACAUGUGGUUUAAUUCGAUGAUACGCGAGGAACCUUACCCGGGCUUGAACUAACGGUGACGAAUCUAGAGAUAG